AUACUUACCUGGCAGGGGAGACACCAUGAUCAGGAAGGUGGUUUUCCCAGGGCGAGGCUUAUCCAUUGCACUCGGGAUGUGCUGACCCCUGCGAUUUCCCCAAAUGUGGGAAACUCGACUGCAUAAUUUGUGGUAGUGGGGGACUGCGUUCGCGCUUUCCCCUG
This 164-nucleotide small nuclear RNA is filed under the name Panthera tigris altaica (Amur tiger). RNAcentral describes it as "U1 spliceosomal RNA (ENSPTIG00000000636.1)". It matches the Rfam family "U1 spliceosomal RNA". Rfam says of the family: U1 is a small nuclear RNA (snRNA) component of the spliceosome (involved in pre-mRNA splicing). Its 5' end forms complementary base pairs with the 5' splice junction, thus defining the 5' donor site of an intron. There are significant differences in sequence and secondary structure between metazoan and yeast U1 snRNAs, the latter being much longer (568 nucleotides as compared to 164 nucleotides in human). The record is from Rfam by way of RNAcentral. Lineage: Eukaryota; Metazoa; Chordata; Mammalia; Carnivora; Felidae.